UGUAAUAUCAGAAGUAGUUCACUCACACGAAAAGGAAUGUUAUGGAAGUACUAUGUUUGGUGAAUCUUUUUUGACGUC
Molecule: non-coding RNA, 78 nt
Filed under: Ditylum brightwellii
Lineage: Eukaryota; Bacillariophyta; Thalassiosirophyceae; Lithodesmiales; Lithodesmiaceae
Source: RNAcentral